GGAUGUGAGGGAGAUCUGGCUGCAACAUCUGUCACCCACUGAUUGCCAGGGUUGAUUUCACUGAUCUGGCUGGCUAGGUGGGGUCCCCUUCCUCGCUCAGCAUUCCACAGGUGUCCCUCCCAAAGACACACACUCAAUCGAACCGCACGACAUUCUUGGACAGAGGAGGACUGUGCUCCCCUGAUAGAACUUCCAAACAAGUUCUCAAUAGCUGCUUGUGUAAAGGAAUGCAUGCGUUUUAGAAGAAUGACACUGGAGGAAGGAACGGAGUGGGAAGAGGCUGGUGAGGGUUCAUUUCC
This 299-nucleotide small nuclear RNA is filed under the name Nannospalax galili (Upper Galilee mountains blind mole rat). Its description in RNAcentral is "7SK RNA (ENSNGAG00000006102.1)". The stretch from base 1 to 255 matches the Rfam family "7SK RNA". From Rfam's summary of the family: 7SK was discovered as an abundant small nuclear RNA in the mid-70s but a possible function has only recently been suggested. Two independent studies have found that 7SK RNA binds the CDK9/cyclin T complex (known as elongation factor P-TEFb). The record is from RNAcentral. Lineage: Eukaryota; Metazoa; Chordata; Mammalia; Rodentia; Spalacidae.